RNAcentral lists this small RNA (19 nucleotides) under Arabidopsis thaliana (thale cress). Its description in RNAcentral is "ATSL290960". The record is from RNAcentral. Lineage: Eukaryota; Viridiplantae; Streptophyta; Magnoliopsida; Brassicales; Brassicaceae.
GUUUAUUUCAGUGUUUAUU